This 546-nucleotide long non-coding RNA is filed under the name Fukomys damarensis (Damara mole-rat). RNAcentral's name for it is "lncRNA (ENSFDAG00000031130.1)". The record is from RNAcentral. Lineage: Eukaryota; Metazoa; Chordata; Mammalia; Rodentia; Bathyergidae.
CCACAGUGCGAGCCUCCUAGGCUAGGCUAACACUCAGGUGCAUGUUCCUUAUCCCUAAAUGUGAGUGGGUUCAGGACCCUAAAUAAUUCAACAAAAGUAAGUAUAAGAUGCUCCUGGAACUUCCAAAUUGGUCACAAUUAGAACAAACGGAGAUUACAAAAAGAAGGAAGCCUUAGAAACAACAACCACUGUUCCACAGAGCCUCGCAGUCACAAAGCCAUCUCGCCCAUUCCCUGAACACUCUGAUAACAGCCUUUGCCACGUGUGUGGCUGGCUCAGCUGUGUACACUCAACCUCACCAGGCAGGAGGGACAGCGGUCCUGUGAAGAACGUGAGCGAAAGUAUUUCAAGCACCCAUUGCCUGUGCCUGUCCAUUAGAGAGGGUUCUUUGACAGCCCGAGGGUCUGGUACAGGACCAGGGCUGGGAAUUCAGCAUGAAGUAUAAGGCCAAUGCCGUCCUCACACUUUCUUGCCCAUACAGGCCACGGGGAGAGGUGCAGAUCUCUCCCACUGCUGGUCAUGAAACAAUAAAAAACAAUCUCCGCC